This 175-nucleotide small RNA is filed under the name Desulfosporosinus acidiphilus. RNAcentral's name for it is "Magnesium sequence". It matches the Rfam family "M-box riboswitch aptamer (ykoK leader)". Rfam says of the family: M-box riboswitch, also know as ykoK leader is described as a metaloregulatory RNA that sense divalent metals and function as a genetic control element of genes related to divalent metal transport in bacteria. Lineage: Bacteria; Bacillati; Bacillota; Clostridia; Eubacteriales; Desulfitobacteriaceae. The record is from RNAcentral.
AGAUUUCUUCGUUAGGUGAGGCUCCUAUACGAACAAAGGCCACUGCCCGGAAAUGUCGAGAGACACCAAUGGGUAGAACAGGUAUUACCGGAUUAAGGUUUUACAUAAUGUGGCUGAAUGAAUUUUCUCAUUCUACGUCGUGUAGUGCCAAAGCUCAGAACGAGUGAGGAAAGUG